GGCCCCGUAGCUCAACUGUAUAGAGUAUCUGACUACGGAUCAGAAGGUUAAAGGUUAGAAUCCUUUCGGGGUCACUA
RNAcentral lists this transfer RNA (77 nucleotides) under Bacteroidales bacterium 36-12. RNAcentral's name for it is "tRNA-Arg". It matches the Rfam family "tRNA". From Rfam's summary of the family: Transfer RNA (tRNA) molecules are approximately 80 nucleotides in length. Their secondary structure includes four short double-helical elements and three loops (D, anti-codon, and T loops). The record is from RNAcentral. Lineage: Bacteria; Pseudomonadati; Bacteroidota; Bacteroidia; Bacteroidales.